Molecule: long non-coding RNA, 383 nt
Filed under: Olea europaea subsp. europaea
Lineage: Eukaryota; Viridiplantae; Streptophyta; Magnoliopsida; Lamiales; Oleaceae
Source: RNAcentral
CUCCAAAUUAGCGAACUUCAACAAUCUAAACUCCAAAAUCGAUUACUACAAUAACUGCUAUUACUGCAACAAGGAAUACAAAAUAAACAUCCAAAAACUCAAAUUUACGGCUAAAAGAGAAAAAAAGUACGAGAAACAAAUCACUAAUCCAUUACAUCACAGAUUUACCAUUAAUUUCAAAACAAAUAAUGGAAUUCGUGAGCGGUUUUACUUACAGAGUGAUCGAGGCAAGAUCGGACGAAGCCGCAGAGGGAGGAGAGGAGAAGGAACGAAAGGACGUAAAUGACCCUGCGACUUUUUUCAAUCUCACUAUUCGCAGGCAGUGUUUGUGCUCCCGUGUGGCUGAGCUUUAACGUAGAGACCCAACGGUUAAUUUGUAGGAG